RNAcentral lists this ribosomal RNA (992 nucleotides) under uncultured eukaryote. Its description in RNAcentral is "SSU rRNA". It matches the Rfam family "Eukaryotic small subunit ribosomal RNA", at positions 121 to 1111 of the family's 1831-position model. The record is from RNAcentral.
UGGGAUGUUAGCAGUUACUUGGAUAACUGAGGUAAUUCUUGAGCUAAUACAUGCGAAAAAUCCCGACUCACGAAGGGAUGCUUUUAUUAGAUCAAAACCAAACAGCUUCGGCUGUAACACUGGUGACUCUGAAUAACUUUGGGCUGAUCGCAUUGCCUUGAGCAGGCGACAUUUCCUUCGAAGGUGUGCCCUAUCAACUGUCGACUGUGAUAUAGACGCUCACAGUGGUUUUGACGGGUAACGGGGAUUCAGGGUUCGAUUCCGGAGAGGGAGCCUUAAAAACGGCUACCACAUCCAAGGAAGGCAGCAGGCACGCAAAUUACCCAAUGAACGAAGUUCGAGGUAGUGACGAAAAAUAACAAUACAAGACUCAUCCGAGGCCUUGUAAUUGGAAUGAGUACACUUUAAAACCGUUUCACGAGGAUCUAUUGGAGGGCAAGUCUGGUGCCAGCAGCCGCGGUAAUUCCAGCUCCAAUAGCGUAUAUUAAAGUUGUUGUGGUUAGAAAGCUCGUAGUUGGAUUUCGGCGGGUAUUGGUUGGUUUGAAUUGCUUCAACACUGACUUUUUUACCCGUGUGUUUUGCCAGAAUUUAGCGGGUGAUCUUCGCCGAUUGUCCGUUGGAACUGGUAGGUUUACUUUGAAAAAAUUAGAGUGCUCAAAGCAAGCUUACUGCUUGAAUAGUUGCGCAUGGAAUAAUAGAAUAGGAAGUCGUUUCUAUUUUGUUGGUUUUCGGAAAUCGACUUAAUGAUUAAUAGGGAUAGUCGGGGGCAUUCGUAUUCAAACGACAGAGGUGAAAUUCUUGGACCGUUUGAAGACGAACUAAUGCGAAAGCAUUUGCCAAGAAUGUUUUCAUUAAUCAAGAACGAAAGUUAGAGGUUCGAAAGGCGAUUAGAUACCGCCCUAGUUCUAACCAUAAACGAUGCCAGCUAGCGAUCUGCCGGCGUUUAAUUUUCUGACUUGGCAGGAGCCUCGAGGGAAACCAAAGCUUGUGGG